This 315-nucleotide ribosomal RNA is filed under the name Triticum aestivum (bread wheat). RNAcentral's name for it is "partial small subunit ribosomal RNA". The record is from RNAcentral. Lineage: Eukaryota; Viridiplantae; Streptophyta; Magnoliopsida; Poales; Poaceae.
AUGAUCUUCAUUAUUAGAGCAUUGUCCCAUGUGAGAAAAAAAAUAAAAGAGGCCAAAGAAGCCAACAAAAAAAAGAAAAAAAAUGAGAGAAUAAGAGAGAAGGGGCAAUGUUACUAUCCUUUUUCCACACUUGUGCUUCAAAGUAGCACCAUGAUCUUCAUGAUAGAGAGUCUCCUAUGUAGUCACUUUCAUAUACUAGUGGGAAUUUUCCACUAUAGAACUUGGAUUGUAUAUUCCUGUGAUGCGCUUCCUCAAAUUGCCCUAGGUAUUCGUGAGCAAGCACGUUGGAUGCACACCCACUUAGUUUUCUUUUGA